Molecule: ribosomal RNA, 497 nt
Filed under: uncultured bacterium
Lineage: Bacteria
Description: partial 16S ribosomal RNA
Rfam family: Bacterial small subunit ribosomal RNA
Source: RNAcentral
GAUGAACGCUGGCGGCGUGCCUAAUACAUGCAAGUCGAGCGAACAGACGAGGAGCUUGCUCCUCUGACGUUAGCGGCGGACGGGUGAGUAACACGUGGAUAACCUACCUAUAAGACUGGGAUAACUUCGGGAAACCGGAGCUAAUACCGGAUAAUUUAUUGAACCGCAUGGUUCAAUAGUGAAAGACGGUUUUGCUGUCACUUAUAGAUGGAUCCGCGCCGCAUUAGCUAGUUGGUAAGGUAACGGCUUACCAAGGCAACGAUGCGUAGCCGACCUGAGAGGGUGAUCGGCCACACUGGACCUGAGACACGGUCCAGACUCCUACGGGAGGCAGCAGUAGGGAAUCUUCCGCAAUGGGCGAAAGCCUGACGGAGCAACGCCGCGUGAGUGAUGAAGGUCUUCGGAUCGUAAAACUCUGUUAUUAGGGAAGAACAAAUGUGUAAGUAACUAUGCACGUCUUGACGGUACCUAAUCAGAAAGCCACGGCUAACUACGUG